AGAGUUUGAUCCUGGCUCAGAACGAACGCUGGCGGCAGGCCUAACACAUGCAAGUCGAGCGCCCGCAAGGGAGCGGCAGACGGGUGAGUAACGCGUGGGAACGUGCCCUUUGGUUCGGAAUAUUCCCGGGAAACUGGGAGCAAAACCGGAUAAGCCCUUCGGGGGAAAGUUUACGCCAAAGGAUCGGCCCGCGUUAGAUUAGGUAGUUGGUGGGGUAACGGCCUACCAAGCCUACGAUCUAUAGCUGACCUGAGAGGAUGAUCAGCCACACUGGGACUGAGACACGGCCCAGACUCCUACGGGAGGCAGCAGUGGGGAAUCUUGGACAAUGGGCGCAAGCCUGAUCCAGCCAUGCCGCGUGGAUGACUGAAGGCCCUAGGGUUGUAAAGUCCUUUCGACGGGGACGAUAAUGACGGUACCCGUAGAAGAAGCCCCGGCUAACUUCGUGCCAGCAGCCGCGGUAAUACGAAGGGGGCUAGCGUUGUUCGGAUUUACUGGGCGUAAAGGGCGCGUAGGCGGAUUUUUAAGUCGGGGGUGAAAUCCCGGAGCUCAACUCCGGAACUGCCUUCGAUACUGGAAGUCUAGAGCACGGUAGAGGUGAGUGGAAUUCCGAGUGUAGCGGUGAAAUGCGUAGA
Molecule: ribosomal RNA, 635 nt
Filed under: uncultured bacterium
Lineage: Bacteria
Description: bacterial SSU rRNA
Rfam family: Bacterial small subunit ribosomal RNA
Source: RNAcentral